GGAGACGUGCCCGAGUGGUCUAAGGGAACAGUUUGCAAAACUGUGAUUCACCGGUUCAAAUCCGGUCGUCUCCUCCA
RNAcentral lists this transfer RNA (77 nucleotides) under Bacteriovoracales bacterium. Its description in RNAcentral is "tRNA-Cys". It matches the Rfam family "tRNA". From Rfam's summary of the family: Transfer RNA (tRNA) molecules are approximately 80 nucleotides in length. Their secondary structure includes four short double-helical elements and three loops (D, anti-codon, and T loops). Further hydrogen bonds mediate the characteristic L-shaped molecular structure. tRNAs have two regions of fundamental functional importance: the anti-codon, which is responsible for specific mRNA codon recognition, and the 3' end, to which the tRNAs corresponding amino acid is attached (by aminoacyl-tRNA synthetases). tRNAs cope with the degeneracy of the genetic code in two manners: having more than one tRNA (with a specific anti-codon) for a particular amino acid; and 'wobble' base-pairing, i.e. permitting non-standard base-pairing at the 3rd anti-codon position. Lineage: Bacteria; Pseudomonadati; Bdellovibrionota; Bacteriovoracia; Bacteriovoracales. The record is from RNAcentral.